RNAcentral lists this ribosomal RNA (408 nucleotides) under uncultured prokaryote. RNAcentral describes it as "bacterial SSU rRNA". It matches the Rfam family "Bacterial small subunit ribosomal RNA", at positions 355 to 774 of the family's 1533-position model. The record is from RNAcentral.
UGGGGAAUCUUGCACAAUGGGCGAAAGCCUGAUGCAGCGACGCCGCGUGCGGGAUGAAGGCCUUCGGGUUGUAAACCGCUUUCAGCAGGGACGAGGCCGCAAGGUGACGGUACCUGCAGAAGAAGCCCCGGCUAACUACGUGCCAGCAGCCGCGGUAAUACGUAGGGGGCAAGCGUUAUCCGGAUUCAUUGGGCGUAAAGAGCUCGUAGGCGGCCCGUUAGGUCAGGGGGCAAAUUCGGGGGCUCAACCCCCGCGCGCUCCUGAUACCGGCGGGCUUGAGUUUGGUAGGGGAAGGUGGAACUCCCAGUGUAGCGGUGGAAUGCGCAGAUAUUGGGAAGAACACCGGUGGCGAAGGCGGCCUUCUGGGCCAUAACUGACGCUGAGGAGCGAAAGCUAGGGGAGCGAACA